GUUGUGCAUGUCUUCUUUGGAGAACCUCCAGUGAAACUUAGAUUCUUUUUUCUUUGCUUUCUGGGGCAAAGAAGGUCUCUGAAGAAAUACAAUUUGCUUUGUAGAUAAAUUCCCUUCCCUGUUUGUCUUCACAAUUGGAGUAGGAAGGACGCAUGUCAGCUGCCAGCCGUAUAUGGCAAGGGAAUUCAGCAGUGGAACAUAGUCUGUCUGCACUUCCACCCCCUUCAGUACAGUCCACUGCUCUACGACAAUAGCAUCAUAGCCCUGCGUGGUUUUAUUGUCUUCCACAGCAACGUCUUCAAAGAG
Molecule: long non-coding RNA, 306 nt
Filed under: Gallus gallus (chicken)
Lineage: Eukaryota; Metazoa; Chordata; Aves; Galliformes; Phasianidae
Source: RNAcentral